This is a non-coding RNA of Heterocephalus glaber (naked mole-rat), 2031 nucleotides long. Lineage: Eukaryota; Metazoa; Chordata; Mammalia; Rodentia; Bathyergidae. The record is from RefSeq and is a predicted model, not a curated record.
UAAAAAGCUAAAACUCGAAAUUCCAUUUGACCCAGCUAUUCUCCUUCUAGGUGUUUUCCUGAAGGACAUCUUAUUACAGUGAUCACGUGUACACAUCUUCAUAGCACCAUAAUUCACAAUAGCUAAAUCUAGGAAGCAGCCUAUAUGUCCAAUAAAGGAUAGGUGGAUAAAUAAAAAGUGGCAUUGUUACAUAAUGGAAUAUGACUUUGCCAUAAAAAAAGAUAAAUCUGAGUCAUUUUUAGGAAAGUAGAUGCAACUUGAGACCAUGUUCAGUGAAAUUAAUCAGAAAUGCAAGCUUAAAAAUUGCAUGUUUUUUCUUAUGUGAGAAAUCAAAUAUAAAUAAGGAAGUAAAUGAAUGAUAGAUACAGUAAGAAGAGGGAAAAAGAAAGAGAAAGUUGGAGGGAAGAGGAAGGCAACUGAGAAGGGAAUGACAAAGAGUUAUGUGCGUAUGCCGGUCCACACAAGAAUGUAAUCCUUAUGUACUGCCAAUAUAUGAUAAUAAAAUGAAAAGGUUAAAACAUAAACAACUAAAAUGCAAUAUAAAACUUCUCUAACUUAGAAGCAAACUCAACUUUUCCAGCCCAUCAGUCACUGUGUUCAAAUGCCUCGGGUGUCCUCGACACUGCUGACCUCUGGAAAGAGUUGGAGAUGAAGGUAAAACAAAGAAAAAAGGAAAAGAUAAGUUUUAACCUCCAAGGUCAUUUUAAGCUGUGUACUAUACUUGUGUUUAUCCACUUAGUAAUAACUAACUGACAAUGUUAUGACUCUUAUUCUGAAGUAGAAUAUAGACAUCGCCCUCACACCUUUUUAUAACUGUAGAGCUACUUUGUGCCCCACUGUGUGGACAUCAGUUUAUUCAAACAAAGCCCCUUAAAUUUGACUGUUUUUUAUUUUAUAAAAAACCCAAUAUUUUGUAAUCAAAUAGUAGGAGAAUAACAAUAGUUGUUAUACUGUGUAUUUUUAUCUUCAAAGUGGUUAUUCAAAGUAUAAAACAGAAACCAAAAAGAUUCUUACAAAAAAGAAACAUAAUAACAAAUCUUUCCUUUCACCAAACUAAGAUAAACUAGCUCUUUUGAUUAACAUUUGUGUAUAUGUGUGUUUACAAAUAGUUCUAUAAUGAAUAAACUUGUGUAUAUUUUUCCGCCAAACUACAACCCACAUUUACUAGUGUAUCUUUGGGAGAGAUUACAAAAGGAAUGCUGAGCCAAAAAGGAAGUACAUGCAUGAUACAACGAAUAUUGCCAUAUUCAUCUGUGAAUGGGUUCCAGUGUGCUCCAAUCGACAAUAUAUGGGAGUGCCUUUUCUGAAAACCUUACUAUUUUCUAAGUGAAUUUUUUGGCCAAUCUAACUGAGGCUGAAUACUGAAAAGUAAGACUGUAAAUUAUUUAAGAAGACCUGAUAGCUUUUCCGCUGCAGGAGCCAGCUGAGAGUCUGUCUAUGGGAGACCCAAAGCCGGGAAAGCUCCUUUUCUUCUUGGUCUCAAUCACAUCAUUCUCCAAGGAAACCAGUUCAUCAAGAAGCAAGAGCUUUGCUGCCAGAACCAGGGCAGCAAUGAGUCAUUCCAAGUGGUCUUGGAAGAAGAUAAGACUGAGAAUCAUUUUGGAAAAAAAAAGGAGAAAGCAAGCUAGAGUGAAGAAAAGAUCUAAGAGAAGCAAGAUGUGUUACUCUCAUAUGUGGGACCCUAGAGGAUGUCGUAUAUCUCAGAAAACCCACUACACUGCCGGCCUUGAGAGAAGAAACUGAAAAUGCAUGUGCUGCAAUCUCGAUGAUCAAGGUUACCCAAGCAGCAGUCAGCUGUAGUAAUAAAUGUCUGGAAGCUCAUGGCCACCGCUUUGAGCACCUCUUGUAAUUUAGAGGCCAAAAGCAAAGUGUAUUAAUCUCAUUAAAUUUAAUAUUCAAAUAUCUAUCAAGUUUUUCUUUUACUGAACUGUGCAUACAUUUUUUUAGUGGACUCUUUGUGUGAUAGUAAGGAAAAAACUCAGGAUUAGAUUUGAAAACUAGAAAUAAAUAUCCUUGCUGCGCUUCUCAUUG